GAUACGUGACGGGGCCAGAACUUAUGAACUGCAGGCAUCAAUUGGUGUUUGAACUGCCUCUCACACCGGCAACUCCAGGGAGCAUUUUCCAGGGCAAGAAGGUGCGUGGCUUUCGUGGUGUGUCCUGGAGAACUGAAUGGCCAGUUCACUGUUUAAAGCAUCCUCAUGACAACCCUGCGAGGCAGCGGGUCCGCAUCAUUACUAGCCCACUCUACAGAUGAGAAAACUGUGGCACGGAGAGGCCAAGUAACCUGCCCAGAGCUGGUUUUCAUUGGAGAUCAAGUCCUGCUUCUAGAAUGUGUUGGGGGAAGAGUUGGGGAAGAAAAUUCUCUCUUUUUACCCAAGAUUGUGGUUUCUCGCCCUGGAUGAGCCACUUGGAGCAGAGAGUGCCUCUCACACCAUGCCACUUCUCUCCAUUCUGUUGGAUGCAGGAUGCCAAGAGAGCUGAGUCUGAGGACAAAUUGGAUUCUGAAGCUGGUCCUCAGAUUGUUUCCCAUGUCCUACAGAAUAAAGUUCAUGGUCUUCAAGGCCUGCCUACAUCUCCAGACUCUGUAUUACAUGGCCCUCCUCAUCACUGUUCUCUACUCUCCCUUCCCUUUUUUGUUUUGGUUCUAAAGUUCAAUGCCACUUCCUCAAGGAAGCUUCUCUGUUGCUCAGAUAAGAUUGCUCCCU
This is a long non-coding RNA of Myotis davidii, 672 nucleotides long. RefSeq lists it as uncharacterized. The record is from RefSeq and is a predicted model, not a curated record. NCBI's taxonomy places the organism in Eukaryota, Metazoa, Chordata, Mammalia, Chiroptera, Vespertilionidae. The transcript has 4 exons.